GACGAACGCUGGCGGCGUGCUUAACACAUGCCAGUCGAACGGAAAGGCCCUGCUUUUGUGGGGUGCUCGAGUGGCGAACGGGUGAGUAACACGUGAGUAACCUGCCCUUGACUUUGGGAUAACUUCAGGAAACUGGGGCUAAUACCGGAUAGGAGCUCCUGCUGCAUGGUGGGGGUUGGAAAGUUUCGGCGGUUGGGGAUGGACUCGCGGCUUAUCAGCUUGUUGGUGGGGUAGUGGCUUACCAAGGCUUUGACGGGUAGCCGGCCUGAGAGGGUGACCGGCCACAUUGGGACUGCGAUACGGACCAGACUGCUACGGGAGGCAGCAGUGGGGAAUAUUGCACAAUGGGCGGAAGCCUGAUGCAGCAACGCCGCGUGCGGGAUGACGGCCUUCGGGUUGUAAACCGCUUUCGCCUGUGACGAAGCGUGAGUGACGGUAAUGGGUAAAGAAGCACCGGCUAACUACGUG
Molecule: ribosomal RNA, 468 nt
Filed under: uncultured bacterium
Lineage: Bacteria
Description: partial 16S ribosomal RNA
Rfam family: Bacterial small subunit ribosomal RNA
Source: RNAcentral